GUCCAAGAAGAGGCUAAGAUGCUAGUGAAAGCUUUCAGUGAAUAUGGAGAUUCAGUUGUCAAUCCCAAAGAAUUGCUUUGCAAUUGUGUUGGCAAUGUGAUCUGCUCCAUAGUCUUUGGGCACAGGUUUGAAAAUGACGACCCAAUGUUUCAGCUCAUCCAAAAGGCUGUUGAUGCCUACUUCAAUGUCCUCAGCAGCCCUAUUGGAGCGAUGUACAACAUGUUCCCUAGAAUUGUUUGGUACUUUCCAGGCAAUCACCAUGAGAUGUUUGGUAUCAUAAACAAGGCCAAAGAUUACAC
Salvelinus namaycush (lake trout) is the source of this 299-nucleotide long non-coding RNA. RefSeq lists it as uncharacterized. The record is from RefSeq and is a predicted model, not a curated record. The transcript has 3 exons. NCBI's taxonomy places the organism in Eukaryota, Metazoa, Chordata, Actinopteri, Salmoniformes, Salmonidae.